GUGCUGCUCCUUAGGCUGUCAUUCAAGAAGUCAGGCAUUGACCAUCAGGGAACUCCUGCUCCACACCCUGCCUGAAUGCAGUGCUGAUCAUGACUGCAAAGGAAGUACAGUGUGUAACUCAAAACACGAAAGACAGCGCUUGUAAAGUGUAUCAGUAUUCAUCUACUGUUUCUUGGGGGAAAAGGUUUCCUGAGGUAGAGUCCUCUGAAGAUUCUCUCAUCCUGGAGCACAGAGAAAGGAAAUUCAUGGUCCACCAAAGCCUUGAGCUAACUAACACACAGGCCAAGCCAAGUGCCUGGUUGCUGUGUUCUUGGACAUGCUGCACUCAGCACCGCAAAUCACUACUGAUUCUAUGUAUUGCUGUAUCUGGAGAUCCGUGGGCCCACACCAGGAUGCCUGGCCUGAGGGGCACCUUUCCUGCAGAGGUCCAAGGUCCACCAGGAGUAAGCCUUCUAGGUGGUAAUCAUUUCCUUUCGGAAAGCAGAAGUACUGAAGCCAACAUGAUUAUGUGCCAACUUCUGAAAUUGCUUUUCUUCUUUUUGGACAUUCUCCACCUUCCUUUUUAAAUAGAACAUAAAAACAGCUG
Molecule: long non-coding RNA, 586 nt
Filed under: Fukomys damarensis (Damara mole-rat)
Lineage: Eukaryota; Metazoa; Chordata; Mammalia; Rodentia; Bathyergidae
Description: lncRNA (ENSFDAG00000033270.1)
Source: RNAcentral